UGCCAGCCGCCGCGGUAAUACGGAGGGGGUUAGCGUUGUUCGGAAUUACUGGGCGUAAAGCGCACGUAGGCGGACUGGAAAGUUGGGGGUGAAAUCCCAGGGCUCAACCCUGGAACUGCUCUUGAAACUCCAGGUCUAGAAUCCGAUAGAGGUCAGGAGAAUUCCUAGUGUAGAGGUGAAAUUCGCAGAUAUUAGGAGGAAUACCAGUGGCGUAGGCGCCUGACUGGGUCGGUAUUGACGCUGGGGUACGAAAGCGUGGGGAGCAAACAGGAUUAGAUA
This 279-nucleotide ribosomal RNA is filed under the name uncultured bacterium. Its description in RNAcentral is "partial 16S ribosomal RNA". It matches the Rfam family "Bacterial small subunit ribosomal RNA", at positions 506 to 784 of the family's 1533-position model. The record is from RNAcentral.